Molecule: long non-coding RNA, 374 nt
Filed under: Mus spicilegus (steppe mouse)
Lineage: Eukaryota; Metazoa; Chordata; Mammalia; Rodentia; Muridae
Description: lncRNA (ENSMSIG00000019211.1)
Source: RNAcentral
CUGAAAUUGUUUACAGAUACUUAUUUGAUUCUUAUUCUAUUCAUUUUCCAUGUUUUUGCAUACAUCAAAUGCCUUGAGAAUAGGUUUAAAGGAAAUCUUGCAGAGGUGAUGAUUGUACACCAAGAAAUGUCACUUACAAUAUGCAUCAAGUCAGAAGGAGUCAACUAGCCAGUGAUGAUGUCAUGCUGUGGAAACCACCUGACCUUUGUGAUGAGGUUUUGCCUAGUAAAUAUCAUCUGAAUUGUACUUUGAAGAGUGUGUAGAUUUGGAGAAACUUAGAAACUGAUUAUAAUGCAGAAUCUGCAAAGGCUCAGCAAAGAAGAAGUGUGGCAUUGACGUGGUGAGUAAAAGGGAGUUUCUAAUGGAGGAAAAAU